GGGAUUGCCCUAGUAACGGCGAGUGAAGCGGCAACAGCUCAAAUUUGAAAUCUGGCGCAAGCCCGAGUUGUAAUUUGUAGAGGAUGCUUCUGGGUAGCGACCGGUCUAAGUUCCUUGGAACAGGACGUCAUAGAGGGUGAGAAUCCCGUAUGUGACCGGCCCGCACCCUUCACGUAGCUCCUUCGACGAGUCGAGUUGUUUGGGAAUGCAGCUCUAAAUGGGAGGUAAAUUUCUUCUAAAGCUAAAUACCGGCCAGAGACCGAUAGCGCACAAGUAGAGUGAUCGAAAGAUGAAAAGUACUUUGGAAAGAGAGUUAAAAAGCACGUGAAAUUGUUGAAAGGGAAGCGCCUGCAAUCAGACUUCGCGGCAGUGUUCCGCCGGCCUUCUGGCCGGUUCAUUCUCUGUCGCGAGGCCAUCAUCGUCUCGGCCCGCUGGAUAAGACCUUGGGAAUGUAGCUCACCUUCGGGGGAGUGUUAUAGCUCAUGGUGAUGCAGCGAGGCUGGGGCGAGGUCCGCGCUUCGGCAAGGAUGAUGGCGUAAUGGUUGUCGGCGGCCCGUCUUGAAACACGGACCAAGGAGUCUAACAUCUAUGCGAGUGUUCGGGUGUCAAACCCCUACGCGUAAUGAAAGUGAACGGAGGUGGGAACCGCAAGGUGCACCAUCGACCGAUCCUGAUGUCCUCGGAUGGAUUUGAGUAAGAGCAUAGCUGUUGGGACCCGAAAGAUGGUGAACUAUGCCUGAAUAGGGUGAAGCCAGAGGAAACUCUGGUGGAGGCUCGCAGCGGUUCUGACGUGCAAAUCGAUCGUCAAAUUUGGGUAUAGGGGCG
Molecule: ribosomal RNA, 825 nt
Filed under: Sphaerulina sp.
Lineage: Eukaryota; Fungi; Ascomycota; Dothideomycetes; Mycosphaerellales; Mycosphaerellaceae
Description: partial large subunit ribosomal RNA
Rfam family: Eukaryotic large subunit ribosomal RNA
Source: RNAcentral